GAUGAACGCUAGCGACAGGCUUAACACAUGCAAGUCGAGGGGCAGCGGAAUUAGUAGCAAUACUAAUUGCCGGCGACCGGCGCACGGGUGAGUAACGCGUAUGCAACCUACCUAUCAGAGGGGGAUAGCCCAUUGAAAGAUGGAUUAACACCGCAUAAAACAGGGGUCCCGCAUGGGAAUAUUUGUUAAAUAUUUAUAGCUGAUAGAUGGGCAUGCGUUCCAUUAGUUAGUUGGUAUGGGUAACGGCCUACCAAGACAUCGAUGGAUAGGGGUUCUGAGAGGAAGGUCCCCCACACUGGUACUGAGACACGGACCAGACUCCUACGGGAGGCAGCAGUGAGGAAUAUUGGUCAAUGGACGAGAGUCUGAACCAGCCAAGUCGCGUGAAGGAUGACUGCCCUAUGGGUUGUAAACUUCUUUUAUAUGGGAAUAAAAAAGGGAACGCGUUCUCUAUUGCAUGUACCAUUAUGAAUAAGCAUCGGCUAACUCCGUGCCAGCCGCCGCAGUAACAC
Molecule: ribosomal RNA, 512 nt
Filed under: uncultured bacterium
Lineage: Bacteria
Description: bacterial SSU rRNA
Rfam family: Bacterial small subunit ribosomal RNA
Source: RNAcentral